This is a non-coding RNA of Pelobates cultripes (western spadefoot toad), 234 nucleotides long. NCBI's taxonomy places the organism in Eukaryota, Metazoa, Chordata, Amphibia, Anura, Pelobatidae. The record is from the annotation of a GenBank genome assembly.
GUAGGAACCUUUCUUCCAAUACAUUCCCAUUACAUAUCGGUCUGCAUCCUCGGGGCCAGAAUGUUCAAUAUUUAACAUUAAUUUCAUAGGGGUACUUCCUCCAGGCUUUCUCAAAGUCAUUCUUUGAAGGAGGGAUCUACCCUGAUUGUCUAUCUUAGAUAGAGCACUUUUGGGUUUAUAACCCCAGGCAGGCCCAGUAUUCCAUCCCGCAGUCCCCCAGUAGUUACAGUCAUA